RNAcentral lists this non-coding RNA (780 nucleotides) under Pongo abelii (Sumatran orangutan). The record is from RNAcentral. Lineage: Eukaryota; Metazoa; Chordata; Mammalia; Primates; Hominidae.
GUCGCAGCCCCGCCCGUCCCAGCCCGGGAAGCUGGGACUUGAGUUGGUCUGCGUUCGGGCAAGGUGCCUGGCACGGUUGCUGUCCAGGGCUUAGAGAACAGAGGAAGAGCCCUUGAGUCUGUGCACACUCUGCCACCACGGCCCCGCCCACCUCUGGAGCCCACAGGUGCCCAGCCCACAGGUGUCUUGCUUUUGGCUAGACUCCUGCCAUAUGGGGACCCCCAUGAUGGCCACUCAGGAGAUGGGGGGCCCAGGAGGACAGGGGAGUGACUCCAGGCUGUGACCGGAAAUUCCCCGUGGCCCCUGUUCCAGUCCCCAGGGAGAUGGGAGGGCCACACGCUGUUAUGAGGAAGAGGACACCGGGCUGGCCCUGGCCCAGGGUGGGCAGCUCUGGUUUCACUGCUUGGCUCCGAGCCCGAGGCAGGUGCAGGAGCCAGGCACGGUGAGCAGGGCCCAGUGCCCCUCAGGCUCUGGGGAAGGGGUACAGCCAGGUGGCCUAGAGCGAGGAGGUGCUGGGGACAGGUGUAACCACUUCCAGUCUCUCCCAGACUGCUGACCUUCAUCCUCUCCCAGAUUCCAAGGGCCACUGCUGGGAGCAUGGGGUGGACAUCGUCCCACCAGCCUCCUGGAUCCACAUCCGUAAAGACUCCAAAGUGAAGUGAGGCUGGCUUCUCUCCAGCUCACAGCAGAGGAAGGGGCAGCCUCAGGGCCCAGCAACUUGCUCAGAGCGCACAGGAGUGCUCUGGGGCUGGGCCAGCCCAGGGCCUCUGACUCUGCCCC